CUGCUGCCUCCCGUAGGAGUUUGGGCCGUGUCUCAGUCCCAAUGUGGCCGUUCACCCUCUCAGGCCGGCUACUGAUCGUCGCUUUGGUGGGCCGUUACCCCGCCAACUGGCUAAUCAGACGCGGAUCCAUCGUAUACCACCGGAGUUUUUCACACUGUUCCAUGCGGAACCGUGCGCUUAUGCGGUAUUAGCACCUAUUUCUAAGUGUUAUCCCCCUGUAUACGGCAGGUUAUCCACGCGUUACUCACCCGUCCGCCACUAA
RNAcentral lists this ribosomal RNA (262 nucleotides) under uncultured bacterium. RNAcentral describes it as "partial 16S ribosomal RNA". The record is from RNAcentral.